This 72-nucleotide transfer RNA is filed under the name Pleuronectes platessa (European plaice). RNAcentral describes it as "tRNA-Thr". It matches the Rfam family "tRNA". From Rfam's summary of the family: Transfer RNA (tRNA) molecules are approximately 80 nucleotides in length. Their secondary structure includes four short double-helical elements and three loops (D, anti-codon, and T loops). The record is from RNAcentral. Lineage: Eukaryota; Metazoa; Chordata; Actinopteri; Pleuronectiformes; Pleuronectidae.
GGCUCGUUGGUCUAGGAGUAUGAUUCUUGCUUUGUGUGCGGGAGAUCCCGGUUGCAAAUCCCGGAUGAGCCG